UAGUUGUCCUCUAUUUCUACCAAUCUCCUUCUAGAUUGUUCGGGAUUCUUCUCAACUCUUCCAAAACAAGGAUUAGCAUUGAGGCUAUACCUUCUCUAUGAACUGAAUGGCUUGGAUCGAAGUGAAACCACUAGGUAAAAUGGCCGGGUAUACUGCUGUGGCUGGGGAUCGGCCAUGUCCUACAGCAGCGGGGCUAUAGCCUUGCUGUAGCUGGCGUGGUUUGAGUGGUUCUGCCUGACUAAGGAAACCGGAUCGCUACUUCGCAAUGUGCCAGAAGCUCUAUUUCCCUUCCUUCAUGGAGCUAGUUAGUAUGAAGCUUAGUUAUUAAUAGGUUCUUCUCGGUUGUACUCUUUUACUUUGUCUACUUUGUAGAAUCCGCAAUUACAGUAGAAACAUAGUAUGUGAUAAAUUGUUCAAGGAAUUUAUGAAUUCUGAAUUAGUAAUUUGGAUUUUAAUAUGAAAUAUAUCGUGUUGAGUAAUGAGU
Molecule: non-coding RNA, 484 nt
Organism: Jatropha curcas
Lineage: Eukaryota; Viridiplantae; Streptophyta; Magnoliopsida; Malpighiales; Euphorbiaceae
Source: RefSeq, a predicted model, not a curated record